Molecule: ribosomal RNA, 253 nt
Filed under: uncultured bacterium
Lineage: Bacteria
Description: partial 16S ribosomal RNA
Rfam family: Bacterial small subunit ribosomal RNA
Source: RNAcentral
UACGGAGGAUGCAAGCGUUAUCCGGAAUGAUUGGGCGUAAAGAGUCCGUAGGUGGUAAUUCAAGUCUGUGGUUAAAGCGUGGAGCUUAACUCCAUAAAGGCCAUGGAAACUGAAUAACUAGAGUGAGGUAGGGGUAGAGGGAAUUCUCGGUGUAGCGGUGAAAUGCGUAGAUAUCGGGAAGAACACCGGUGGCGAAAGCGCUCUACUGGACCUUAACUGACACUGAGGGACGAAAGCUAGGGGAGCGAAAGGG